Molecule: ribosomal RNA, 465 nt
Filed under: Vreelandella stevensii
Lineage: Bacteria; Pseudomonadati; Pseudomonadota; Gammaproteobacteria; Oceanospirillales; Halomonadaceae
Description: partial 16S ribosomal RNA
Rfam family: Bacterial small subunit ribosomal RNA
Source: RNAcentral
CCUACGGGAGGCAGCAGUGGGGAAUAUUGGACAAUGGGCGAAAGCCUGAUCCAGCCAUGCCGCGUGUGUGAAGAAGGCCUUCGGGUUGUAAAGCACUUUCAGUGGGGAAGAAAGCCUUGGGGCUAAUACCCUCGAGGAAGGACAUCACCCACAGAAGAAGCACCGGCUAACUCCGUGCCAGCAGCCGCGGUAAUACGGAGGGUGCGAGCGUUAAUCGGAAUUACUGGGCGUAAAGCGCGCGUAGGCGGUCUGAUAAGCCGGUUGUGAAAGCCCCGGGCUCAACCUGGGAACGGCAUCCGGAACUGUCAGGCUAGAGUGCAGGAGAGGAAGGUAGAAUUCCCGGUGUAGCGGUGAAAUGCGUAGAGAUCGGGAGGAAUACCAGUGGCGAAGGCGGCCUUCUGGACUGACAUUGACGCUGAGGUGCGAAAGCGUGGGUAGCAAACAGGAUUAGAUACCCGGGUAGUC